This 253-nucleotide ribosomal RNA is filed under the name uncultured bacterium. RNAcentral describes it as "partial 16S ribosomal RNA". It matches the Rfam family "Bacterial small subunit ribosomal RNA", at positions 524 to 776 of the family's 1533-position model. The record is from RNAcentral.
UACGUAGGGUGCAAGCGUUGUCCGGAAUUAUUGGGCGUAAAGAGCUCGUAGGCGGUUCGUCGCGUCGGCUGUGAAAUCCCGCGGCUCAACCGCGGGCUUGCAGUCGAUACGGGCAGGCUUGAGUUCGGUAGGGGAGACUGGAAUUCCUGGUGUAGCGGUGAAAUGCGCAGAUAUCAGGAGGAACACCGGUGGCGAAGGCGGGUCUCUGGGCCGAUACUGACGCUGAGGAGCGAAAGCGUGGGGAGCGAACAGG